Molecule: ribosomal RNA, 785 nt
Filed under: marine sediment metagenome
Description: LSU rRNA
Rfam family: Bacterial large subunit ribosomal RNA
Source: RNAcentral
CCUUGUCGGGUAAGUUCCGACCUGCACGAAUGGCGUAACGAUUUGGGCACUGUCUCAACGAGGGACUCGGUGAAGUUGUAGUGUAAGUGAAGAUGCUUACUACCCGCGACAGGACGGAAAGACCCCGUGAACCUUUACUGUAGCCUGAUAUUGAACUUUAGCAUAUCCUGUGUAGGAUAGGUGGUAGGCUGUGAAAGAGGGGCGUUAGCCUCUCCGGAGCCAUCCUUGAAAUACCACCCUUGGUGUGUUUGGGUUCUAACCUUUCGCCGUUAUCCGGCAAAGGGACAGUAUUUGGUGGGCAGUUUGACUGGGGCGGUCACCUCCCAAAGAGUAACGGAGGUGUCCCAAGGUCUCCUCAGUGUGGUUGGAAAUCACACCAAAGAGUGUAAGGGCAUAAGGAGGCUUAACUGCGAGAGAGACAUCUCGAGCAGAUGCGAAAGCAGGGCCUAGUGAUCCGGCGGUAACUAGUGGAUGUGCCGUCGCUUAACGGAUAAAAGGUACUCCGGGGAUAACAGGCUUAUCUCCCCCAAGAGUCCAUAUCGACGGGGAGGUUUGGCACCUCGAUGUCGGCUCGUCGCAUCCUGGGGCUGAAGCAGGUCCCAAGGGUUUGGCUGUUCGCCAAUUAAAGCGGUACGCGAGCUGGGUUUAGAACGUCGUGAGACAGUUCGGUCCCUAUCCGUCGUGGGCGUAGGAUACUUGAAGAGGGUCUGCCUCUAGUACGAGAGGACCGAGGUGGACGAACCUCUAGUGUACCAGUUGUCCUGCUCAGGGCACCGCUGGGUAGC